AGUGACCGAUAGCGCAUAGUACUGUGAAGGAAAGGUGAAAAGGACCCCGGGAGGGGAGUGAAAGAGAACCUGAAACCCUGUGUCUACAAGCUGUGGAAGAUCUUUACAUGAUCAACCGCGUACUUUUUGUAGAACGGUCCGGCGAGUUGCCAUGUCUGGCAAGGUUAAGUACUUAAGGUACGGAGCCGAAGUGAAAGCAAGUGUUAACAGCACGUAAAGUCAGACCGGGCAGACCCGAAACCGGGUGAUCUACCCAUGUCCAGGUUGAAGUUGCCGUAAAAGGCAAUGGAGGACCGAACGCACAUCCGUUGAAAAGGGUGGCGAUGAGGUGUGGGUAGGGGAGAAAUUCCAAUCGAACCCGGAGAUAGCUGGUUCUCCUCGAAAUAGCUUUAGGGCUAGCCUCGUUUUAGUCUUAUGGAGGUAGAGCACUGAAUUUCCGCGGGGGCGUCAAAGCUUACCAAAGAAUAUCAAACUCCGAAUGCCAUGUAGAUGAUGAACGGGAGUCAGACUGCACGAGAUAAGUUGGGCAGUCAAAAGGGAAAGAGCCCAGACCGCCAGCUAAGGUCCCAAAGUGUGUGUUAAGUGGAAAAGGAUGUGGGAUUUCGAAGACAACUAGGAUGUUGGCUCAGAAGCAGCCAUACAUUCAAAGAGUGCGUAAUAGCUCACUAGUCGAGAGGUCCUGCGCCGAAAAUGUCCGGGGCUGAAACACGACACCGAAGCUUAGGAAUCGAAAGAUUGGUAGAGGAGCAUUGAAUACGGAACGAAGCAGUACCGGAAGGAGCUGUGGACUGUAUUGAAGAGAGAAUGCCGGAAUGAGUAGCGAGAUUUAAGUGAGAAUCUUAAAGGCCGAAUAUCUAAGGUUUCCAGGGUAAAGCUGAUCUUCCCUGGGUAAGUCGGGGCCUAAGGCGAGGACGAAAGUCGUAGUCGAUGGAUAACAGGUUGAAAUUCCUGUACCGCAUAUAUUCAGAAAUGUGGGGACACAGAUGGAGAGUACAACCCGGGAAUGGAUAGACCGGGGCAAGCGAGGUAGGAGAAUGGCAGGCAAAUCCACCAUUCAAUCUGAAGACGUGACGCGUACCGAACAAGAGUAGGGAAGUGUAUGAGCCAGCUGUCGAGAAAAGCCGCUAUUGUGAUAUAUGUGCCCGUACCGUAAACCGACACAGGUGGAUGAGGAGAGAAUCCUAAGGCCGACGGAAGAAGCAUUGUUAAGGAAUUCGGCAAAAUGACCCCGUAACUUCGGGAGAAGGGGUGCCCACUGAAUGGUGGGCCGCAGAGAAUAGGCUCAAGCAACUGUUUAGCAAAAACACAGGUCUAUGCGAAACCGAAAGGUGAGGUAUAUGGGCUGACGCCUGCCCGGUGCUGGAAGGUUAAGAGGAGAGGUUAGCGCAAGCGAAGCUUUGAAUUUAAGCCCCAGUAAACGGCGGCCGUAACUAUAACGGUCCUAAGGUAGCGAAAUUCCUUGUCGGGUAAGUUCCGACCCGCACGAAAGGCGUAAUGAUUUGAGCACUGUCUCGACAAUGCAUCCGGUGAAAUUGAAGUACCAGUGAAGAUGCUGGUUACCUGCGCCAGGACGGAAAGACCCCAUGGAGCUUUACUCCAGCUUGAUACUGGGAUUCGGUACUACCUGUACAGGAUAGGUGGGAGGCUUCGAUCACGGGACGCCAGUUUCGUGUGAGCCGCUGUUGGGAUACCACCCUUGUAGUACUGGAUUCCUAACCUACAGCCGUGAACCGGCUGGGGGACAAUGUCUGGCGGGGAGUUUGACUGGGGCGGUCGCCUCCGAAAGGGUAUCGGAGGCGCUCAAAGGUUCCCUCAGAAUGGUUGGAAACCAUUCGAAGAGUGCAAAGGCAGAAGGGAGCUUGACUGCGACACCGACGGGUGGAGCAGGUACGAAAGUAGGACUUAGUGAUCCGGUGGUAUAAAGUGGGAUUGCCAUCGCUCAACGGAUAAAAGCUACCCUGGGGAUAACAGGCUUAUCACUCCCAAGAGUUCACAUCGACGGAGUGGUUUGGCACCUCGAUGUCGGCUCAUCGCAUCCUGGGGCUGUAGCAGGUCCCAAGGGUUGGGCUGUUCGCCCAUUAAAGCGGUACGCGAGCUGGGUUCAGAACGUCGUGAGACAGUUCGGUCCCUAU
This 2132-nucleotide ribosomal RNA is filed under the name human gut metagenome. RNAcentral describes it as "bacterial LSU rRNA". It matches the Rfam family "Bacterial large subunit ribosomal RNA", at positions 479 to 2641 of the family's 2925-position model. The record is from RNAcentral.